This 419-nucleotide long non-coding RNA is filed under the name Pan troglodytes (chimpanzee). RNAcentral describes it as "long non-coding RNA NONPTRT004249". Lineage: Eukaryota; Metazoa; Chordata; Mammalia; Primates; Hominidae. The record is from RNAcentral.
CAACUGUUCAUGAAAACAGACUGUGAAGCACUGGGCAGAAUUCAGUGGGGGUGGCUUCCGCACGUAUCUGCAGCUAGAGUAUUUGGAGCGAGCUAAUGCUUUGGCCCGACAGAAAGAGGUUUCCUUCCUGCUGCCUGCUGCGCUGCGGAGGCUGUCAUAUGGGGGUCCCGUGCUGCGCAUUCUCUCUAUGCCUGACGACACCUUAAUCAUGAUCAGAGAAGAUGGAGCUAUUUAUUUCUGGUCCCUGCAGCUGAAGUUGAAAAGAAGAAAGCGGGUCUUUGUAUGUGAUUUUCAUUUGAUAAGGAUGCUGAGUGCUACAGUUUGAUUUUAUUUGCUAUUUUAAACUGCUUCUUAAGUGGUGUGAUUACAUAAAUUGUGUCCUUGAAUAUAAUAUAUUCAUGCUGGAUUUUGCUAGUCUG